Molecule: non-coding RNA, 31 nt
Filed under: Rattus norvegicus (Norway rat)
Lineage: Eukaryota; Metazoa; Chordata; Mammalia; Rodentia; Muridae
Source: RNAcentral
UAGAAGGAUACAUAGUAGUUCUAUCUUGGGU